GACGAACGCUGGCGGCGUGCUUAACACAUGCGAGUCGAACGGAAAGGCCCUGCUUGCCGGGUACUCGAGUGGCGAACGGGUGAGUAACACGUGGGUGAUCUGCCCUGCACUUCGGGAUAAGCCUGGGAAACUGGGUCUAAUACCGGAUAGGGGCCAUUUUUAGUGUGAUGGUUGGAAAGUUUUUUCGGUGUAGGAUGAGCUCGCGGCCUAUCAGCUUGUUGGUGGGGUAAUGGCCUACCAAGGCGGCGACGGGUAGCCGGCCUGAGAGGGUGGACGGCCACAUUGGGACUGAGAUACGGCCCAGACUCCUACGGGAGGCAGCAGUGGGGAAUAUUGCACAAUGGGCGCAAGCCUGAUGCAGCGACGCCGCGUGGGGGAUGACGGCCUUCGGGUUGUAAACUCCUUUCGCUAGGGACGAAGCUUUUUGUGACGGUACCUAGAUAAGAAGCACCGGCUAACUACGUG
RNAcentral lists this ribosomal RNA (465 nucleotides) under uncultured bacterium. Its description in RNAcentral is "partial 16S ribosomal RNA". It matches the Rfam family "Bacterial small subunit ribosomal RNA", at positions 28 to 507 of the family's 1533-position model. The record is from RNAcentral.